This 119-nucleotide ribosomal RNA is filed under the name Orchesella cincta. The record is from RNAcentral. Lineage: Eukaryota; Metazoa; Arthropoda; Collembola; Entomobryomorpha; Orchesellidae.
GCCAACGGCCAUACCACGUUGAACACACCAGUUCUCGUCCGAUCACUGAAAUUAAGCAACGUCGGGCUCGGUUAGUACUUGGAUGGGUGACCGCCUGGGAACCCCGGGUGCUGUUGGUA